AUUAGUUGCUACGAAAGAGCACUCUAAUGAGACUGCCGGUGACAAACCGGAGGAAGGUGGGGAUGACGUCAAGUCCUCAUGGCCCCUUAUGGGUAGGGCUUCACACGUCAUAUAAUGGUACAUACAGAGGGCCGACAACCCGCGAGGGGGAGCUAAUCCCGGAAAGUGUAUCGUAGUCCGGAUUGUAGUCUGCAACUCGACUACAUGAAGUUGGAAUCGCUAGUAAUCGCGGAUCAGCAUGUCGCGGUGAAUACGUUCCCGGGUCUUGUACACACCGCCCGUCACACCAUGGGAGCGGGUUUUACCAGAAGUAGGUAGCUUAACCGCAAGGAGGGCGCUUACCACGGUAGGAUUCGUGACUGGGGUGAAGUCGUAACACAGGUAGCCGUAUCGGAAGGUGCGGCUGGAUCUAUUUCUCAUAAUCUGGUAUUCUCUC
This 436-nucleotide ribosomal RNA is filed under the name uncultured bacterium. RNAcentral describes it as "bacterial SSU rRNA". It matches the Rfam family "Bacterial small subunit ribosomal RNA", at positions 1110 to 1533 of the family's 1533-position model. The record is from RNAcentral.